This 125-nucleotide small RNA is filed under the name Marmota monax (woodchuck). The record is from RNAcentral. Lineage: Eukaryota; Metazoa; Chordata; Mammalia; Rodentia; Sciuridae.
GCCAGGUGCAUGGCACACUCCUGUAAUCCCAGCUGCUCGGGAGGCUGAGGCAGGAGGAUCACAAGUUUGAAGCCAGCCUGGGCAACUUAUGAGACCCUCAGUAACUUAGCGAGAUCCUGUCUCAA